RNAcentral lists this long non-coding RNA (2121 nucleotides) under Homo sapiens (human). RNAcentral describes it as "non-protein coding LINC01135:25". Lineage: Eukaryota; Metazoa; Chordata; Mammalia; Primates; Hominidae. The record is from RNAcentral.
CCUUUGCUCCAGGACCGGAUGCGGAGCCGGGACUCAGGUGGAGGCAGGAGAAAUACGCACCCUGGGUGCACCUAUUCCUAUCAGGCGAAGGCCGCCUUUCCUGGCCUCCCCCACAGGCCCGCCAGCGAUUCGUCCUUACAAGGCUAGCCUCCACGGGCUGCCCUCUGUGUAAAUAAAGCCACAGACUUCCGCCCACAGGUCGCCGCAGGUCCCGCCCGCAGCGCCGGGCCGCGGGGGAGGCGGGAACUGGUGCUACGGCCGCUACGCAGGCCUCGGGAGGCUCGGAGCCCGCCACGCCCCAGCCCUCUCGCAGGGCCGGGGAGCCACGGGGCCAAAAGGAGGAGCAGGUGGAAGAAAUCCAGGCUCAGACCGUCGGAGUCCCCACCCAUGAGCACCCUUCUCCACUGAUCACUCAGAACAUGGUAGGCCCUAGAGAGACAGCAGCCCGAAUCUUCCCAGAAACCCUGCAGGAGAUUCCUUCUUCCCAUUUUAUAGAAGGGAGGCUGAGGCUCGGCACGUUGAAAUGGCUUGACCAAGGUCCCACAGGCAAAAAAAUGGUACAGCAAGAUAUUGUAACCCAAUAUCUGGCUGCAAAACCCAGUCUCUCCCCAACCCACCUAUCGUCACCGAGAUUGUAAAACUUCUAACCGGGAAGAAUCAAAUACAUGCACAACGGGUUACAGGUUAACAGACAGAUGGGAGCGGAAAGGGACAUUCCAGCGCUUCCCUGGGCGUGUCGCACAGGGCAACUCCAACCACAGGCGAAUUUUCCUGGGUGACAGUUAAACUCCUUUUUGCAUGAAAAAAUACAGAUUCUUAUUAAAACAAUAAUCGAUUAGACUAUAAAACUCUCAAAGUUAUUUCGGAUCAAAAUUAUUUUCGGCUGUUUCCACACCUUUUUUUCUCGAUUGUGCAGAAAUUCUUCACACCGUCUGCACAGAUGGGCAAACUGAGACCCGGACGAGUCCCAUUGAGAGAGAGAGGCAGAGCCGGGGUUGGGAGAAGACUGAGAUUUCUGGGAUCCGGCUUGGGGUGUUUCCGCUGGGUGGGGGCGCCGGUUUGCGAAGAGCUUUCCUCGGACAGCUACUGCUGAUUUUUGUCGCUCAGCCAGCCAAGUGGGGGCGAUUCUGAGUAAUCGCAGGCAAUCAGCGCGGCUGGGGUUAAAAGCGAAAGGGACUCGCGGGCGAACGGCCGGGGAGGGCGGCGGGCACAGAGCCCAGACGCCGGCAAAGGCGGGGCGCCGCCGGGGUUCCCUCGGUGCGAGCGCGCGCGGCACUUCCUGCUUUUGCUCCUCCCUGCGGUCCUGCCGGCCGUUGUAAACUGGCGCUGCGGGCCACACCCGUGUUCCAGGCCCGCUAACCCACCGGCGGCCCCAGAGCCCCAGGCGGCCCCAGAGACCCAGCCUCAAUCCUCAGUCCUCGUACAGUCCUCAGGUCCAAGUUCUGGCCAUAGGAACGCCAGCCAGAUCUGCAGCUCAGCUAGCUGAAUUUCAGGUUCCAGAGACCUGGCCCUUUUCUUCCAUGUAGGGGACAGUCAGGUUCUCUGGCCUGGGUUUUCUAAAAGUACCCAGAGUUGAACUACCUUCCACUCAGCAAUCCCAUUACUGGGUCUGUACCGAAAGAAAAAUAAGUGGUUCUUCCAGAAAGACACAUGAAUCCCUAUGUUCAUCGAAGUGCUAUUCACAAUAGCAAAAACUUGGAAUCAACCCAGGUGCUUGUCAAUGGUGGAUUGGAUAAAGAAAAUAUGGCUCAUACACACCACGGAACACUAUGCAGUCAUAAAAAGAAUGAAAUCGUGUCCUUUGCAGCAACAUGGAUGCAGGUGGAGGCCAUUAUCCUAAGUGAACUAAUCAGGAAAAGAAAAUCAAAUACCACAUAUCCUCACUUAUAAGCAGGAGCUAAACAAUGGGUACACAUGGACAUAAAGGUGGACAUGAUAGACACUGAGGACUACUAGAGUUAGUGGGAGAGGGAGCAGAGCAAGGGCUGGAAAAUUACCUCUUGGGUGCUAUGCUCACUAUCUGAGUGACAAGCUCAAUUAUACUAAAAACCUCAGCAUUAGGCAAUAUACCUUUGUAACAAACCUGCACAUGUACCCCCAAUUAUAAAAUAAAAGUUGGGA